This 459-nucleotide ribosomal RNA is filed under the name uncultured bacterium. RNAcentral's name for it is "partial 16S ribosomal RNA". It matches the Rfam family "Bacterial small subunit ribosomal RNA", at positions 338 to 795 of the family's 1533-position model. The record is from RNAcentral.
CCUACGGGUGGCAGCAGUGAGGAAUAUUGGUCAAUGGGCGCGAGCCUGAACCAGCCAAGUCGCGUGAGGGAAGACGGUCCUAUGGAUUGUAAACUUCUUUUGUCGGGGAGUAAAAUACGCCACGCGUGGCGUUUUGAGAGUACUUGAAGAAAAAGCAUCGGCUAACUCCGUGCCAGCAGCCGCGGUAAUACGGAGGAUGCGAGCGUUAUCCGGAUUUAUUGGGUUUAAAGGGGGCGAAGGGGGAAGAUCAAGUCAGUGGUAAAAUUGGGGGGCUCAACCUUUACGGGCCGUUGAAACUGGUUGUCUUGAGUGCACGUGAGGUAUGCGGAAUGCGUGGUGUAGCGGUGAAAUGCAUAGAUAUCACGAAGAACUCCGAUUGCGAAGGCAGCAUACCGACGCGCAACUGACACUCAUGCACGAAAGUGUGGGUAUCGAACAGGAUUAGAUACCCUAGUAGUC